CAAAGUCAUGGUUAAGUGGGAAACGAUGUGGGAAGGCCCAGACAGCCAGGAUGUUGGCUUAGAAGCAGCCAUCAUUUAAAGAAAGCGUAAUAGCUCACUGGUCGAGUCGGCCUGCGCGGAAGAUGUAACGGGGCUAAACCAUGCACCGAAGCUGCGGCAGCGACGCUGAUGCGUUGUUGGGUAGGGGAGCGUUCUGUAAGCCUGUGAAGGUGGCCUGUGAGGGUUGCUGGAGGUAUCAGAAGUGCGAAUGCUGACAUAAGUAACGAUAAAGCGGGUGAAAAGCCCGCUCGCCGGAAGACCAAGGGUUCCUGUCCAACGUUAAUCGGGGCAGGGUGAGUCGACCCCUAAGGCGAGGCCGAAAGGCGUAGUCGAUGGGAAACGGGUUAAUAUUCCCGUACUUGGUGUUACUGCGAAGGGGGGACGGAGAAGGCUAUGUUGGCCGGGCGACGGUUGUCCCGGUUUAAGCGUGUAGGUGUGUGUUCCAGGUAAAUCCGGUUCACUUUAACACUGAGGCGUGAUGACGAGGCACUACGGUGCUGAAGCAACAAAUGCCCUGCUUCCAGGAAAAGCCUCUAAGCAUCAGGUAACAUCAAAUCGUACCCCAAACCGACACAGGUGGUCAGGUAGAGAAUACCAAGGCGCUUGAGAGAACUCGGGUGAAGGAACUAGGCAAAAUGGUGCCGUAACUUCGGGAGAAGGCACGCUGACACGUAGGUGAAGUGAUUUACUCACGGAGCUGAAGUCAGUCGAAGAUACCAGCUGGCUGCAACUGUUUAUUAAAAACACAGCACUGUGCAAACACGAAAGUGGACGUAUACGGUGUGACGCCUGCCCGGUGCCGGAAGGUUAAUUGAUGGGGUCAGCGCAAGCGAAGCUCCUGAUCGAAGCCCCGGUAAACGGCGGCCGUAACUAUAACGGUCCUAAGGUAGCGAAAUUCCUUGUCGGGUAAGUUCCGACCUGCACGAAUGGCGUAAUGAUGGCCAGGCUGUCUCCACCCGAGACUCAGUGAAAUUGAACUCGCUGUGAAGAUGCAGUGUACCCGCGGCAAGACGGAAAGACCCCGUGAACCUUUACUAUAGCUUGACACUGAACAUUGAGCCUUGAUGUGUAGGAUAGGUGGGAGGCUUUGAAGUGUGGACGCCAGUCUGCAUGGAGCCGACCUUGAAAUACCACCCUUUAAUGUUUGAUGUUCUAACGUGGACCCGUAAUCCGGGUUGCGGACAGUGUCUGGUGGGUAGUUUGACUGGGGCGGUCUCCUCCUAAAGAGUAACGGAGGAGCACGAAGGUUGGCUAAUCCUGGUCGGACAUCAGGAGGUUAGUGCAAUGGCAUAAGCCAGCUUGACUGCGAGCGUGACGGCGCGAGCAGGUGCGAAAGCAGGUCAUAGUGAUCCGGUGGUUCUGAAUGGAAGGGCCAUCGCUCAACGGAUAAAAGGUACUCCGGGGAUAACAGGCUGAUACCGCCCAAGAGUUCAUAUCGACGGCGGUGUUUGGCACCUCGAUGUCGGCUCAUCACAUCCUGGGGCUGAAGUAGGUCCCAAGGGUAUGGCUGUUCGCCAUUUAAAGUGGUACGCGAGCUGGGUUUAGAACGUCGUGAGACAGUUCGGUCCCUAUCUGCCGUGGGCGCUGGAGAACUGAGGGGGGCUGCUCCUAGUACGAGAGGACCGGAGUGGACGCAUCACUGGUGUUCGGGUUGUCAUGCCAAUGGCACUGCCCGGUAGCUAAAUGCGGAAGAGAUAAGUGCUGAAAGCAUCUAAGCACGAAACUUGCCCCGAGAUGAGUUCUCCCUGAGACUU
RNAcentral lists this ribosomal RNA (1793 nucleotides) under Salmonella enterica subsp. enterica serovar Kentucky. RNAcentral describes it as "bacterial LSU rRNA". It matches the Rfam family "Bacterial large subunit ribosomal RNA", at positions 1048 to 2823 of the family's 2925-position model. The record is from RNAcentral. Lineage: Bacteria; Pseudomonadati; Pseudomonadota; Gammaproteobacteria; Enterobacterales; Enterobacteriaceae.